This 253-nucleotide ribosomal RNA is filed under the name uncultured bacterium. Its description in RNAcentral is "partial 16S ribosomal RNA". It matches the Rfam family "Bacterial small subunit ribosomal RNA", at positions 524 to 776 of the family's 1533-position model. The record is from RNAcentral.
GACGUAGGAGGCGAGCGUUGUCCGGAUUCAUUGGGCGUAAAGGGUGCGUAGGCGGCGCGGUAAGUCGGGUGUGAAAUCUCGGAGCUUAACUCCGAAACUGCAUUCGAUACUGCCGUGCUUGAGGACUGGAGAGGAGACUGGAAUUUAUGGUGUAGCAGUGAAAUGCGUAGAGAUCAUGAGGAAGACCAGUGGCGAAGGCGGGUCUCUGGACAGUUCCUGACACUGAGACACGAAGGCCAGGGGAGCAAACGGG